Molecule: long non-coding RNA, 244 nt
Filed under: Musa acuminata (dwarf banana)
Lineage: Eukaryota; Viridiplantae; Streptophyta; Magnoliopsida; Zingiberales; Musaceae
Description: long non-coding RNA (MACU_LNC010027)
Source: RNAcentral
UUUUUUACUAUACGACUUUAGGGUCUUAUCAAUUAGUAUCAGAGCGACGAUAAGACCUUUAAGGUCUUAUCAUUUGGUAUCAGAGUGACGAUAAGACCUUUAGGGUCUUAUCAAUUGGUAUCAGAGCAUCCCCAUUUCUCCCCUUUCUUCCACGAUAAGAUUUUAGGGUCUUAUCAUUUGGUAUCAGAGCGGUGAUCCUUGGCGUUCUCGCUGCAGUAUUGCCGUGGCAAUAAAAAAAAAAAAA